AGGUGGGGACGACGUCAAAUCAUCAUGCCCCUUAUGACCUGGGCUACACACGUGCUACAAUGGAUGGUACAACGAGUCGCGAAACCGCGAGGUUUAGCUAAUCUCUUAAAACCAUUCUCAGUUCGGACUGUAGGCUGCAACUCGCCUACACGAAGUCGGAAUCGCUAGUAAUCGCGGAUCAGCAUGCCGCGGUGAAUACGUUCCCGGGCCUUGUACACACCGCCCGUCACACCAUGAGAGUUUGUAACACCCAAAGCCGGUGGGGUAACCUUUUAGGAGCUAGCCGUCUAAGGUGGGACAGAUGAUUAGGGUGAAGUCGUAACAAGGUAGCCGUAGGAGAACCUGCGGCUGGAUCACCUCCUUU
This 364-nucleotide ribosomal RNA is filed under the name Lacticaseibacillus rhamnosus. RNAcentral describes it as "bacterial SSU rRNA". It matches the Rfam family "Bacterial small subunit ribosomal RNA", at positions 1171 to 1533 of the family's 1533-position model. Lineage: Bacteria; Bacillati; Bacillota; Bacilli; Lactobacillales; Lactobacillaceae. The record is from RNAcentral.